CAAUGGUUGCACUUUGUGGUGAUGUAGUCUACGAUCGCCCGUACUCUUUCCCUAAUAACACCCCUUUCUUGCAACAAAUGCCCAAUUUGGUCAGUCUUUGCCUCUAGAGUUUGUUCAGCUAUCUGAUUCAAUUCUUGGAAUUGUUGUAAAUCCAUCUCUAACCUUGCUAUCGCGGCAUAACAAUGUUCUCUCUUGGAUUUGAAAUCCCUGGCUUUCUUUGCCACUUUGUUCUCAGCCAUGAUGACCUUCCUUUUUAACCCAGCAACCUCAUCGUCAUGACUUCCUUUUAAUUUCUCAAUGAUGCAGGUUCGAUCCUCCGCAGUUUUAGCUAACUAUUUCCGAACCCCGGAUAUCUCACCUUCUAAUUUAUUCGAAUCAAACCCAUACUCUGUCACUUUUUUCCUUAAAUUGUCUAUGAGUUUUUCAUCUCUCGCGCUCCUGGAGGGAUUUUUCGUGGCUAUUUUUAUCCUUUGGAUUUGAGCUCGCAACACUUCGUUCUCUUUGGUUAAUAUUUUCUUUUCCCCCUCAUCUGCAGCUUCUUGCAAACCAUUCUCAAAUUAAAGCUCUUUGACCCGUUUUUCUAAUUUUCAUAUGGUGGCCAUGUACUCAUUUUCCUUGGAUAGCCAGUCCCAUUGUUCCUGUGACGUUUCAAUGAACUCCUGGAGAUGAGGCCUUUUGGGUGGUCUCUCAAACUCAAUUUCUCUUCUGUACCAGGUAGGGUAUCCCGGUGACACUUCGCCUCUAGCCUGAUCCUGUACGCAAGUGUUUACGGUUAGAUAUUGGCAUUCAUUCUAAAUCUUGCGGACCAUUGUUUCGGGGAACUGACCAUCAUGCCCAAUCUCGACUGCCCGGACACUGAGGUCUUCGUCUAUUGGCACUAUCUAGCAUCUUCCGAGUUGUCUCAAGACCCGAUGCGGGACAUAAGGCAAGAUACUCCUAAGACCAAUCAAGAGGAAAUGAGGUUAUGUUGCCGGCAUGUACAC
RNAcentral lists this long non-coding RNA (983 nucleotides) under Nicotiana benthamiana. RNAcentral describes it as "long non-coding RNA (NBEN_LNC021238)". The record is from RNAcentral. Lineage: Eukaryota; Viridiplantae; Streptophyta; Magnoliopsida; Solanales; Solanaceae.